UGAAGUAUAACACAAGAGAAGCACUCCAGGCUGGUGUAGAGUGGAAAGUGGAAGGUUUUAUUAAAGGACAGCAGAAAAGACUUCCUUCCAGAGGAAGAAGGGGACUCCGAAAGGCAGAAUCUGUGGGAGGGGGAGGUCUUCCUUUUUUUAUAUCUUAGGUCUUCUUUCAGUCUCCCACAUUCCUGUCCUUUGUUUCCCUCUCUCCUGCAGUGAUAGAAUGCAGGUGGGAAGGCCCAAAGGUGGGAGAUAGGUGGACUGGAGGAGAAUCUGGGCAGGAAGGGCCUGGGGUGAUUUGAUUAGAACCUUGCUGUUUUCUGAGAGCUGCUUCAUUAACAGUUCCUUAGGAUGGGUUCUGGACCUUGGGGACAUUAACAUUUCAAUUUCCCCAGGUGCUGUUCUGGUUUCCUGGACUCCGUUUUCUCUAUCCUGAUUUACCUAACUACACUAACUGCCUAUCUUUAAAUCAGGCUUCACCCUGCUGAGCUAAGGCACUCUUGCCUUCUCAUUUCACCUAUUGUACUUCAAACAAGGGUUCUUUUCACGGUCUACCAAGAACUAUUGUGGGCUUUUUUUUGUUCUUUCAUUUUUUGUGCUUUUGCUAAGAUUUUGCUGUUUUAAAUAGCCUCCAAAGUGUACUACUUAGAUGUUGUCUAGUGUUCCUAAGUACGAGAAGACUUACAGGGAAAAGAUUGGUGUUGGAAAAGCUUCAAUGGGAAUGAAUAUAGCGCUGUUGGCCAUGAGUUCAACACAAGGAAUCAACAAUAAUAUGAAAUGAGAUGUCUUUAAAUAGAAGCACACAGAAAACUAGGAUAUGUGUUGAUUGGUUGAUGACAAUGUGACAACAGGUUCACAAUUUACCUUAAUUUACCUAGGAGCAAUAGUUCAAUGUUUUCCAAUUCAGUGUUGGAAGUGACUGUAGAACUUUACCACAAAUAAUGAGAACCAACCACUUACCAUACAAUGAAAAAUUAUUUGAACACAAAAAGGAACAAAGUACAAUACAUACAAUAACAUGGAUGACUCUUAAAAAUAUGAUAGAUGAAAGAAGCCAGACAGAAAAAACCACAUAGUAUGUGACCCUAUUUAUAGUGCAUUCAGAAUAGGCAAAUUCUUAGAGACAGAAAGUGAUUGGUGAUUGCCAGGGACCAAGGGGUGGGAACUAG
This 1163-nucleotide long non-coding RNA is filed under the name Marmota monax (woodchuck). Lineage: Eukaryota; Metazoa; Chordata; Mammalia; Rodentia; Sciuridae. The record is from RNAcentral.